RNAcentral lists this long non-coding RNA (3592 nucleotides) under Olea europaea (common olive). RNAcentral describes it as "long non-coding RNA (OEUR_LNC005712)". Lineage: Eukaryota; Viridiplantae; Streptophyta; Magnoliopsida; Lamiales; Oleaceae. The record is from RNAcentral.
ACAGAUUCAACUUCGUCUGAGUUAACAGCUUCUCCAUUUGGGGGGUCGUCUGACCGCAGCUGAGUGGAUACAUUGUCUAUAGCAGAGUUGAGCUGUUCGAUCUUCUCAGCCAGCUUCUGACGUUGCUUCUAUUAAUGGGACAGCAUGCAAAUGUUUCACAAAAGAUAAAUGAGUAAGGAACAUGCCUCUAUGACAUUGGUGUUACAUCAAUGAUGAAGCAAAUCAGUGCAUUUGUUAAAUAUUUGGCAGGAAUUUAUAUCAAUAUUGCAGUUUUAGUUUAUUACCAAGUUAUUCCAUAGUCUAGUCUGAAGAUUCUAUUAAAGCAAAAAUAAUUAUCUUGACUCUACUGUAUUCUCAUAAGAUGAUGCACACUAACUAAUAAUCCUCCCAGUGCUACAUCAUAGGCACACUUUACUCAUAAGAGAGAGAAAAUCAACCAGUCGACCUUAUAGUUGCCCUGGAACCAGGAUAUCUUGGAUUGCAGGAUUCUACAUCCACAUUUUGAAAAGUUCAAUGAUGGCAGGAGGUUCCUAGGUCUAUCAAUAGAGGGAGGAAAAAAGGACUUUGUUUGACCAUUAAACUUAGGUAUAUCUUAAAUAAACAGCCUUAUGAAAUAUUUGUAUUGAACUACACCAAAAUAGGCUAGUAAUAGAAUCCAGUAGCAGCCAUGUACAGUUUGGACGAGGUAUUGUUUGGUUGAUGUUUCAAGUUUUUAUCCCUUUAUUUUUUAUUUUCUUCUUUUCUUCCAAGUUCAAACUCAUGAAUUAACCCUUAUCCAGUCUCAUCAACUCAAAAUAUAUCAUGAGGUUUGGAUAAAAAUUAGAAUUUUUUUUUGGUAGAUUUUGAUAAAAGUUGGUGAAACUUGUGGUUAAUAAGUUGAUAAAAGUUGUGUGUCCCAUAAAAUGUAUAAAUGAAAAUGAAUUUGGGAAAAAAAAUGAGUUUUCAAGAAAUGGGAGCCACACGGGCAUAGUUUCAGUUGAUAAGAUAGAAAGAGACUAAGAGAAUAUUUGAUGUAGAUAUUUUGAUAAUAGAUGUUGUGAAAAGUGAUUUUGUUAAAAAACCUGGUUAAAAAUAGGGAAUAAUUAUAGGUCUACAUGCAAAAUAUUUUAUUGGAGGUAUAUAUUGUUGAAAAUGAGUUCAAAAAAAAAAAAAAUGAGUUUUAAAAAACUCUACCAAAUAGCAGCUAAAUUGUUGACAUCGGAAUGCUUUAGAAUCUAGAAGUCGGGUUGAGUAGAUUCAAGACCCAAUACAUGCAAUGCCUUGAAUAAUAGUAGGAUCAAACAUAUCAAUGAAGUUACUAUGGACAAUCAUGUCAUCUGCAAAACAAAAUAAAAAAUAAAAAAAUUCUCUUUUUAAUGGGCAUCAAAUGGGUGCUAAGUUUGAUGUAUGAGCAAACUAAAAUAGAAAAGAUUAAAAUGAAAAUAUUAUCCAACAAAUGGAGUUGAUAUUGAUUGAUGAGGACAAAUUAAAGAAAUGAUGACUUAGGUGGUUAGGACGCGAUUUGCAUAGACCUAAAGAGGUUCACGUUCAUAGAAGGGGUUAAAAGAGGGCGGGGCAAACCAUAACUAAAAGGCUAAUGAUCCAGUUGUUUUCCAAUACAUCUAAAAUGAACCAAACGAAUUGGUAAAAAAGGAUUCAUGUAGGUAUCCCAAAUUUAUUCGAAACAAAGUUUCUUUGUUGUUUAUAGUUGUUUUCUUUAUAUGUUUUUUGUUCGGAUGGGAGGGAGAGUAAGAGAGGAUUGCCUUUUGGCAAUCUCUAGAGUAGCUACAAUGACUUCCACAUAAUUAGAAAAGGGUAAUUAGCACAAAACAUCCCUACCUUUCGAUGUUUUUGUGGAAAACGUCCCUACCUUUCAUUUUUUGGCGGAUUACACCCUUACCUUUACCUUUUUUUGCGCAAAACGUCAUUCUGUCAACUCUCCGUUAAAAUGCUCCGUUAAAUCAAAAAGGUAAUUAGCACAAAAGGUCCCUACCUUUCAAAGUUAUUAUGCAAAACAUCCCUACCUUUUAUUUUUUAGCAUAAUUAGCAGAAAAGGUCCCUACCUUUCAAUAUUAUUGUGCAAAACGUCCCUACCUUUCAUUUUUAGCAUUUUUACCCCUACAUUUCACAUUUCAUUGUGCAAAAGGUCCUUUUCAUUCAUUUUUUCAAUAAAAUGACGAUUUUACCCUCCUAUUGAAAUAAAACAAAAAGAAAAGAAAAAAAUAAUUAAUUAAUUGCAAUCAUAGUUCUAAAUCUUUCAAAACAUUACAGAUAAAUCAUAAAUUCUCAACCACCACCAUUUUCACAACCUAUCAAGCUGCCAACUAUAAAUCCACAUAAUACCACCUUUCGACCACCAUGCCCACCGGACUCCACCACCGUAAAUGUGAUUGUUUCGGACAGAUUGGUGAUCAAUACUAUGACGGAGGAUAUUGGGGAGAGUGAGGCGACACUGGUGGUGGUGGAGUCCGAUAGGUGUUAUGGUCGAAAAGUGGUGCUAUAUGGAUCUAUAGGUGGUGGCUUGGUGGGGUUGUGAAAGUGACGGCAGUGGAGAAUUUAGGAUUUAUUUGUAAUGUUUUGAAAGAUUUAGAACUAUGAUUGCAAUUAAUUAAUUAUUUUUUUCUUUUCUUUUUGUUUUAUUUCAAUAAGAGGGUAAAAUCGUCAUUUUAUUGAAAAAAUGGAUGAAAAGGACCUUUUGCGCAAUGAAAUGUGAAAUGUAGGGGUAAAAAUGCUAAAAAUGAAAGGUAGGGACGUUUUGCACAAUAAUAUUGAAAGGUAGGGACCUUUUCUGCUAAUUAUGCUAAAAAAAUAAAAGGUAGGGAUGUUUUGCACAAUAACUUUGAAAGGUAGGGACAUUUUGUGCUACUUACCUUUUUGAUUUAACGGAGCAUUUUAACGGAGAGUUGACAGAAGGACGUUUUGCGCAAAAAAAGGUAAAGGUAAGGGUGUAAUCCGCCAAAAAAUGAAAGGUAGGGACGUUUUCCACAAAAAUAUCGAAAGAUAGGGAUAUUUUGUGCUAAUUACCUAUUAGAAAACAACACAAUUGCAGGCUUUAGAUAAAAUUUUCACACAGUUGACAUCUUGCAUGAAAAAUAUCACUUCCAAUUACUAACAACUUAUAGUAGAUAACAAAGCAGCUCUUGAAUUCAUUUGCAUUUAUUAUUCAAAGUCGUGGAAAACCUCAUGCAAUAAAAACCAAGGUUCUUCUAUGUACCAUAUGAAAUCUAACAUGGUGAAAUUAUGUUUGGCUCAAACAUUGACACGUGAAAAUGGGCAAAAAAAUAAACUUAUUUUGCCAAGUUGCAUAUAAAUGGGAGACUAAAUUUUUUAAUUGUACAGUAUGACUAGCGCAGUUUAGCAAGCAAGAAAAUAUGCAGACAUAAAGGAUCUCAACGCUUAAAAACUAGUUUUCAUCAGAAGAAGAUGCUACAUUGGAAGAGAUUGCUCCCCCAAUUAAUUAUAAAAAGGCAUACUUACCUCCAAAACUUUUUCUUCAUCAUAGAUGAAUUUGGGCAAUUUCUUCAUGAGAUCCUUUUUAUCAGCCCCAGCUAAAGCCUUGCUGAUCUGUGAAAAAGAGAAGAGACCAGCUGAAUAAUGUUCUAUACAACAGUUU